Molecule: ribosomal RNA, 350 nt
Filed under: uncultured bacterium
Lineage: Bacteria
Description: bacterial SSU rRNA
Rfam family: Bacterial small subunit ribosomal RNA
Source: RNAcentral
GCACGGGGGCAACCCUGGUGGCGAGUGGCGAACGGGUGAGUAAUGCAUCGGAACGUGCCCAGUAGUGGGGGAUAACUAGUCGAAAGAUUAGCUAAUACCGCAUACGACCUAUGGGUGAAAGCGGGGGAUUCGCAAGAACCUCGCGCUAUCGGAGCGGCCGAUGUCUGAUUAGCUAGUUGGCGGGGUAAAAGCCCACCAAGGCGACGAUCAGUAGCUGGUCUGAGAGGACGACCAGCCACACUGGGACUGAGACACGGCCCAGACUCCUACGGGAGGCAGCAGUGGGGAAUUUUGGACAAUGGGCGCAAGCCUGAUCCAGCCAUGCCGCGUGCGGGAAGAAGGCCUUCGGG